CUUUCAUUGGAGAGGGGACAUGCUAGGAAGACUGCAUUUUGUCCUGUAGGCGAUGGAAAGUCAUUUAAAGGUUGGGGACUACGGGUGGGAUGGAUGGUGAAAGAAACCAGUUCGAUUUAUGUUGUGAACGACUCACUUUGGAGGCUGUGGAGAAGUUUGAAUAUGAGGAUGGGGUUGGGGCGGGGGCAGGGGGAGUGUUGCUAAGCUGGAGGCGUGAUCUUGAAACAGCAGAUGACGGAACCUGAACCAGGGCUGUGGAGAAACGGGAAUGACUGAUCAGACAUUGAGGACGGAGAUGGAAAUCAUCCUGAAACCGCAGUUCAACGCUCCCUCCUUACCCAUCCCCUCCACCACCCACGGACGGACUCCACGUGAACUGUGCUCAGUAGGAAAGAGAACCCAGUGUCCCUCUCUUCACGGAUGCUGUGACUUUACCUUAAGCCAUUUGUCGACACACUUGGCAUGGAACUCGUGGUUACAGGGUAAAACUCUAAGUAGCUGCCUUGACUCAAAAUCACACAUGCAUACUACACACCUAGA
This is a long non-coding RNA of Phyllostomus discolor (pale spear-nosed bat), 540 nucleotides long. RefSeq lists it as uncharacterized. The transcript is spliced from 2 exons. Lineage: Eukaryota; Metazoa; Chordata; Mammalia; Chiroptera; Phyllostomidae. The record is from RefSeq and is a predicted model, not a curated record.